GACGAACGCUGGCGGCGUGCCUAAUACAUGCAAGUUGAGCGAAGAAGGUUGGUACUUGUUCCAACUGGAUGAGCAGCGAACGGGUGAGUAACGCGUGGGUAACCUGCCUUUGAGCGGGGGACAACAUCUGGAAACGAAUGCUAAUACCGCAUAAUAACUUUAAACACAAGUUUUAAGAUUGAAAGAUGCACUUGCAUUAACCAAUGAUGAUCUCGCGUUGUAUUAGCUAGUUGGUGAGGUAAAGGCUCACCAAGGCGAUGGUACAUAAGCGACCUGAGAGGGUGAUCGGCCACAUCUGGACUGGGACACGGCCCAAACUCCUACGGGAGGGAGCAGGAGGGGAUCUUCGGCAAUGGACGAAAGUCUGACCGGACAACGCCGCGUGGGUGGAGGAGGUUCUUGGAUCCGAAAACCCUGUUGAUUGGGGAGGACGGUAGGGGGAAUGGAAAGCGCAUCAAGUGACGGUAACUACCCAGAAAGCGACGGCUAACUACGUG
RNAcentral lists this ribosomal RNA (497 nucleotides) under uncultured bacterium. RNAcentral's name for it is "partial 16S ribosomal RNA". It matches the Rfam family "Bacterial small subunit ribosomal RNA", at positions 28 to 507 of the family's 1533-position model. The record is from RNAcentral.